RNAcentral lists this ribosomal RNA (500 nucleotides) under uncultured bacterium. RNAcentral's name for it is "partial 16S ribosomal RNA". It matches the Rfam family "Bacterial small subunit ribosomal RNA", at positions 30 to 523 of the family's 1533-position model. The record is from RNAcentral.
AUUGAACGCUGGCGGAAUGCUUUACACAUGCAAGUCGAACGGCAGCACGGACUUCGGUCUGGUGGCGAGUGGCGAACGGGUGAGUAACGUAUCGGAACGUGCCCAGUCGUGGGGGAUAACGUAGUGAAAAUUACGCUAAUACCGCAUACGAUCUAUAGAUGAAAGCGGGGGAUCGCAAGACCUCGCGCGAUCGGAGCGGCCGAUAUCAGAUUAGGUAGUUGGUGGGGUAAAGGCCCACCAAGCCAACGAUCUGGAGCUGGUCUGAGAGGACGGCCAGCCACACUGGAACUGAGACACGGUCCAUACUCCUACGGGAGGCAGCAGUGGGGAAUUUUGGACAAUGGGCGAAAGCCUGAUCCAGCCAUUCCGCGUGCAGGAUGAAGGCCCUCGGGCUGUAAACUGCCUUUGUACAGAACGAAAAGGUUUCUACUAAUACUAGGAGCUCAUGACGGUACUGUAAGAAUAAGCACCGGCUAACUACGUGCCAGCAGCCGCCGUAA